GACGAACGCUGGCGGCGUGCUUAACACAUGCAAGUCGAACGGAAAGGCCCUGCUUUUGCGGGGUGCUCGAUUGGCGAACGGGUGAGUAACACGUGAGUAACCUGCCCCUGUCUUUGGGAUAACUUUAGGAAACUGGGGCUAAUACCGGAUAGGAGCUCCUGCUCCAUGGUGGGGGUUGGAAAGUUUCGGCGGUUGGGGCUGGACUCGCGGCUUACCCGCUUGUUGGUCGGGUAGUUGCUUACCAAGCGUGUGACGGGUAGGCGGCCUGGGAGGGUUACCGGCGACAUGGGGACUAAGAGACGGCGCAGUCGGCAACGGGACGCAGCGGUGGAGAAUAUGGCGCAGUGGGGGGGAGUGAGAUGUGACAGCGCUGGGAGCGGGAUGCCCGGCUACGGGGUGUAAACCACUGUGGACGGAGACGAGGAGUGAGUGACGGUAAUGGGUAAAGAAGCACCGGCUAACUACGUG
RNAcentral lists this ribosomal RNA (468 nucleotides) under uncultured bacterium. Its description in RNAcentral is "partial 16S ribosomal RNA". It matches the Rfam family "Bacterial small subunit ribosomal RNA", at positions 28 to 507 of the family's 1533-position model. The record is from RNAcentral.